AGUGAACGCUGGCGGUAGGCCUAACACAUGCAGGUCGAACGGCAGCACAGUAAGAGCUUGCUCUUACGGGUGGCGAGUGGCGGACGGGUGAGGAAUACAUCGGAAUCUACUUUUUCGUGGGGGAUAACGUAGGGAAACUUACGCUAAUACCGCAUACGACCUACGGGUGAAAGCAGGGGAUCUUCGGACCUUGCGCGAUUGAAUGAGCCGAUGUCGGAUUAGCUAGUUGGCGGGGUAAAGGCCCACCAAGGCGACGAUCCGUAGCUGGUCUGAGAGGAUGAUCAGCCACACUGGAACUGAGACACGGUCCAGACUCCUACGGGAGGCAGCAGUGGGGAAUAUUGGACAAUGGGCGCAAGCCUGAUCCAGCCAUACCGCGUGGGUGAAGAGGGCCUUCGGGUUGUAAAGCCCUUUUGUUGGGAAAGAAAAGCAGCAGGUUAAUACCCCGCUGUUCUGACGGUACCCAAAGAAUAAGCACCGGCUAACUUCGUG
Molecule: ribosomal RNA, 492 nt
Filed under: uncultured bacterium
Lineage: Bacteria
Description: partial 16S ribosomal RNA
Rfam family: Bacterial small subunit ribosomal RNA
Source: RNAcentral